AGCGAACGCUGGCGGCAGGCCUAACACAUGCAAGUCGAACGAACCUUUCGGGGUUAGUGGCGGACGGGUGAGUAACACGUGGGAACGUGCCUUUAGGUUCGGAAUAACUCAGGGAAACUUGUGCUAAUACCGAAUGUGCCCUUCGGGGGAAAGAUUAAUCGCCUUUAGAGCGGCCCGCGUCUGAUUAGCUAGUUGGUUGAGGUAAUGGCUCACCAAGGCGACGAUCAGUAGCUGUUCUGAGAGGAUGAUCAGCCACAUUGGGACUGAGACACGGCCCAAACUCCUACGGGAGGCAGCAGAGGGGAAUCUUGCGCAAUGGGCGAAAGCCUGACGAAGCCAUGCCGCGUAAAUGAUGAAGGUCUUAGGAUUGUGAAAUUCUUUCACCGGGGACGAUAAUGACGGUACCCGGAGAAGAAGCCCCGGCUAACUUCGUG
This 434-nucleotide ribosomal RNA is filed under the name uncultured bacterium. RNAcentral's name for it is "partial 16S ribosomal RNA". It matches the Rfam family "Bacterial small subunit ribosomal RNA", at positions 29 to 507 of the family's 1533-position model. The record is from RNAcentral.